AUUGAACGCUGGCGGCAGGCUUAACACAUGCAAGUCGAGCGAGCGGCGGACGGGUGAGUAAUGUCUGGGCAACUGCCUGGUGGAUGGGGUUAACUACUGGAAACGGUAGCUAAUUCCGUAUACCAUCACAUGUGUCCAGUUGGGAUUAGCUAGUGGGUGGGGUAAUGGCUCACCUAGGCGACGAUCCCUAGCUGGUCUGAGAGGAUUACCAGCCACACUGGAACUGAGACACGGUCCAGACUCCUACGGGAGGCAGCAGUGGGGAAUAUUGCACAAUGGGCGCAAGCCUGAUGCAGCCAUGCCGCGUGUGUGAAGAAGGCCUUCGGGUUGUAAAGCACUUUCAGCGAGGAGGCGUUACUCGCAGAAGAAGCACCGGCUAACUCCGUGCCAGCAGCCGCGGUAAUAC
Molecule: ribosomal RNA, 406 nt
Filed under: uncultured bacterium
Lineage: Bacteria
Description: partial 16S ribosomal RNA
Rfam family: Bacterial small subunit ribosomal RNA
Source: RNAcentral